UACAAAUACAACAACAACAACAACAGUGCUUUCCUGUGCUUGCUAUCUAUCUAUCUAUCUAUCUAUCUAUCUAUCUAUAUGAGCAUAAGUAAGGGAAGCCCAUUUCACCCUCUCACCACAGAUGCAGCAGAGCUUCUUCUCCCUCAGGCGUGUUCAACCCUGCUACUUGUAACAGCUAUUGUUGUAAUAUAGUGUAUCACCACAUGGUGGCGCCUCUCGUCUCUUGACUGGUAGGUCACCCCCUGUUUAUUCUUCUUCGUUGUAUACUAUGUCUGUAAUGGAUUCUUCCGUGUGUACGAGGCAAGUGUUAUCUCCAGUAACGUGUGUAGGGUGGAACAGUGUCUUACAGAGGUCGACUCACAUGAUCAGCAGAGGGCCAACAACCAUGACCACCUUCAAAGAGACAGCCCUCACUAAGAACAGUGACUCAGUGUGGAAGUAUCGCUCAGGCCUCUUACUUAUUGGAUGAUUCCCACCUGCCUGCUUACCUCACCUGUCCUCCAUCACAGUGAUCCCUUCACAGUGCGCCGGCCUGUCCCACUGUCAUCCCGCUGAAGGAAACUCACCUGUCUCAAAACUUGUGGAAGCUGGAAUCAGACCAGACCCUGAACUAAAUCCUUUGAACAUUAUGUCAAUUUAAUCUCUGAUCUGAUUGCAAAUACUAAGCAGUUGUAAUGAGUCGCUUAUUAAAAAUGAGGUACUUUUCCUAGCGGCCUCCCGCCAUUCGGUCUUUUGACAUGAACCAUA
Long non-coding RNA from Oreochromis aureus, 747 nucleotides. Lineage: Eukaryota; Metazoa; Chordata; Actinopteri; Cichliformes; Cichlidae. The record is from Ensembl.